AGACACGGUCCAGACUCCUACGGGAGGCAGCAGUGAGGAAUUUUCUGCAAUGGGCGAAAGCCUGACAGAGCAAUACCGCGUGAAGGAUGAAGGCCUAUGGGUUGUAAACUUCUUUUCUCAAGGAGGAAGAUAUGACGUUACUUGAGGAAUAAGCAUCGGCUAACUCUGUGCCAGCAGCCGCGGUAAUACAGAGGAUGCAAGUGUUAUCCGGAAUUAUUGGGCGUAAAGCGUCUGCAGGUGGACUUCUAAGUCUUUUGUUAAAACUCUGGGCUCAACCCAGAAUCUGCAAAGGAAACUAUUAGUCUUGAGUAUGGUAGAGGUAAAGGGAAUUUCCAGUGGAGCGGUGAAAUGCGUAGAU
This 358-nucleotide ribosomal RNA is filed under the name uncultured eukaryote. RNAcentral's name for it is "partial Bacterial small subunit ribosomal RNA". It matches the Rfam family "Bacterial small subunit ribosomal RNA", at positions 322 to 695 of the family's 1533-position model. The record is from RNAcentral.